AUUCAGGGAUGGGAAAUCGAACCACAGUGUUCCGUUUACCAGGCAGAUGCCAUGUCCACUAGGCUACCCUGGA
This 73-nucleotide transfer RNA is filed under the name Cordylochernes scorpioides. RNAcentral describes it as "tRNA-Thr". Lineage: Eukaryota; Metazoa; Arthropoda; Arachnida; Pseudoscorpiones; Chernetidae. The record is from RNAcentral.